AACCAGGGACCCCCAGCCAGGGAUGAGGAGAAAUGGUAUAACGGAGAACCAGGGGCCACCAGCCAGGGAUGACAGGAAAUGGUAUGACUGAGGACCAGGAACCACUAAUCAGGGAUGACGGGAAUUGGUACAAUGACUGAGGACCAGGGACCACCAACCAGGGAUGAGGGAAAAUGGUACGACUGAGGACCAGGGACCACCAACCAGGGAUGAGGGGAAAUGGUACAACAGAGAACCAGGGACCACCAGGCAGAGAUGUUAGGAAAUGGUACGACCGAGGACCAGGGACCACCAACCAGGGAUGAGGGGAAAUGGUACAACUGAGAACCAGGGACCACCAGGCAGAGAUGACAGGUAAUGGUACGACUGAGGACCAGGGACCACCAACCAGGGAUGAUGGAAAAUGGUACAGCAGAGAACCAGGGACCACCAGCCAGGGAUGACAGGAAAUGCUACGACUGAGGACCAGGGACCACCAGCCAGGGAUGACGGGAAAUGGUACACUGACUGAGGACCAGGGACCAGUAAUCAGGGAUGAUUGGGAAAUGGUACGACUGAGGACCAGGGAUCACCAACCAGGGAUGAGGGGAAAUGGUACAACGGAGAACCAGGGACCACCAGCCAGAGAUGACAGGAAAUAGUAUGACUGAGGACCAGGGACCACCAACCAGGGAUGAUGGGAAACAUUAUGUUGACUGAAGAUCAGUGCCAAUCGCCACCAACCAGAAUGACGGGGAAAGUGGUAUAAUGACUGAGAACCAGGGAUGAUGGGAAAUGGUACAGCGGAGAACCAGGGACCACCAGCCAGGGAUGACAGGAAAAUGGUAUAAUAACCGAGAACCAGGGACCACCAAUCGGGAAUGAUGGGAAAUUAUAUAAUGAUUCAAGACUAGCUGUCACGUCACCAACCAGGAAGUAGGAGAAAUGGUACAACUGAGGAUCAGGGACAACCAAUCGGGGAUGAAGAGAAAUGGUACAACAGAAAACCAGGGACCACCAAUCAGGGUUGAUGAGAAAUGAUACAACGGAGGACCAGGGACCACCAGCCCAGGAUGAUGGGAAGUAGUUCAACAAAAGAGGACCAGUUACAUCCAACCAUUGAUGAAGAGAAAUGGUAAGAAGACUGAAUACCAUUUAUUACCAAACAGGAAUGAGGAGAAAUAGUACAACUGAGGAUCAUGGAUGAAGGGUAAUUGUAGAAUUACUAAGGAUCAGGUACCAACAACCAGGGAUGAUGGUUAAUUGCACACAACUGAGGACCAGGGAUCACUAACCAGGGAUGACAAGAAAUGGUUCAACGACUGAGGACCAGGAACCACCAAUCGGGGAUGAUGAGUAAUGGUACAAGGGAGGACCAGUGACCACACAACUGAGGACCAGGGAUCACUAACCAGGGAUGAUGGGGAAAAAGCAUGUUGACUGGUGUCGGGUAAAAAAUGGCUGACUUAAAAGCCCGUUAUUUUUUACUCUCAUUACCGUUACCGUCAUGUUGUACAUCAAAGGACCAAACUUGUCUCGUCUCAUUCACAAGGUUCUGCACAUUGAGCGUUCAAAUUUGCUAUGACAUUUUCCAGGGGUAUAGAGAGCGAAAGUGAGCAUAACCCCUGGAUAUCGAGGAUGAGUGACCACCAGCUACAGAUGUCGGGAAAUUUUAUAGUGACUGAAGACCAGGGAUGCGGAGAAAUGGUACAACUGGACUACGGACCAUCGAUCGGGAAUGAAGAGAAAUGUUACUAUGAGGACCAGAAACAACUAGGGAUGAAGUGCUGCAACAACUGAGGACCAGGGACCACCAAGCAAGGAUGAUGGGAAAUGGUACUAUGAUGGACAACCAGUGAACAUCUUUAGCAUCAAAUAGAUCGGGAGAAAUGGUACCACUAAGGACCAGGGACCAUCAACUGGAAGAAUGGGAAAUAGGACAAUCCACUAAGGAGGACAGGAAAUGAUUUUUUGCUGAGAUUAUAUAGAAGUGAACCUGGUCAAAGAUUCAACUGGAGAAUUGAGAGACCAUCAUCAUCAAAGCUUUUUCUCCAAAUACUUUGGAAGACCUUCAGGAUGUUUGCAUCAAAACUAAAACAGCAAAUUUUUAAAAUCAAUAAAAGUGGACAUUUCAAUCAUUCAACUGCAAUAAUAACAAACGGGACAUAAUACUAGAUGAUUUUUUGAGCUGUGUUCUUGUGAAGUGCUUUGACCCUGCAAUACUCCAAUACUUUGAGGGAUGAGCGACUACAUGGUCCGACAGAACUUGUAGAUGGCCUUUAAGUUGAGUGUGGCCCAGAUGUACAAAUGUAUACGAUGAAAUAUAAGAUGUACAAAUAUAUUGGCAAUACGAUAAAAUAUAUUCUCGUUGCUGUUGCAUAUUGGAAAAAAAUAAUGGAACGAGCUGAUGUUAUUUCAAAUGACUCGAGAAUAAACAUAUUGGUUUUAAAC
RNAcentral lists this long non-coding RNA (2430 nucleotides) under Mizuhopecten yessoensis (Yesso scallop). RNAcentral's name for it is "uncharacterized LOC110451139". Lineage: Eukaryota; Metazoa; Mollusca; Bivalvia; Pectinida; Pectinidae. The record is from RNAcentral.